RNAcentral lists this transfer RNA (77 nucleotides) under Amaricoccus macauensis. RNAcentral's name for it is "tRNA-Pro". It matches the Rfam family "tRNA". From Rfam's summary of the family: Transfer RNA (tRNA) molecules are approximately 80 nucleotides in length. Their secondary structure includes four short double-helical elements and three loops (D, anti-codon, and T loops). Further hydrogen bonds mediate the characteristic L-shaped molecular structure. tRNAs have two regions of fundamental functional importance: the anti-codon, which is responsible for specific mRNA codon recognition, and the 3' end, to which the tRNAs corresponding amino acid is attached (by aminoacyl-tRNA synthetases). tRNAs cope with the degeneracy of the genetic code in two manners: having more than one tRNA (with a specific anti-codon) for a particular amino acid; and 'wobble' base-pairing, i.e. permitting non-standard base-pairing at the 3rd anti-codon position. RNAcentral also lists the same sequence under 7 other names. Lineage: Bacteria; Pseudomonadati; Pseudomonadota; Alphaproteobacteria; Rhodobacterales; Paracoccaceae. The record is from RNAcentral.
CGGGGCGUGGCGCAGCCUGGUAGCGCGGCGGUUUUGGGUACCGCAGGUCGCUGGUUCGAAUCCAGUCGCCCCGACCA